CAUCAUCAUGCCGCCACCGAAUACCCUCCCCAGACGAAAUAUACACAUGCGCCGCCAUAAAAUAGUGCAGCCAAAAUGGAACGUGCAAUUGAUGUGCGGUUUCAUUUGAUGCUUUUGUUUAUCUUUGACUAUUAAAUGAUUUUUGGGGGGUAAUUUUGACGAUGUAAGCUGAAUGAAAGUGUUUCAUUUAAAGUCCAGGAGCAUUCCAGAUGUUUACGCGCACUGAUACAAGAGAAGGUACAGUGGUUCUGUGGGAAAUAUACUCGGUGCAGGGCGACCAUUGUGAGGUCAACCCAGAGGUACAAGAUGCCACAUGGGUCUGGUGAUCUUUGAAGUGUUCAGCUUCAAGUGUGGAAAUCAUCUAAUACCUACAGCAGGAUGCUGAGACAAAACAACCAGCCCCUUGAUGGGAACAACAGUAGCUGUUGCAAUGUUAUAUUCCAUACACAUCCAAAUAUAAACAGGUGACAGAGCAAAACUAUUGGCAAUGGCAGGACAUCCAGCUUACCCGGGUUCUGUUACCAAUGUUAGUCAGGUCCUAAAAUAUUACAGCUGUCCAGCCUCUUGGAAACCCAGACUUCGGGGACUGUGCCUCUGGUACAGUGGGGGCUUGUUCAGCUAAGUUAGAUGGGUUUGCUGGAUGUCAAGGCCACAAAUAAUGUUUCGUUCCUUUUGCUCUUGUUCCUGAUGGUACUUCAGCCCUGCACAGAGACAAUGCUGUUAAACUCCUGCUAAUAUGGCUGAUCUCGCGUUUUCUUCCUCGUAUGCUUCGCUGGCAGCAGCCACUUUCGUCUCCAGUGUGGUCUGAUCAGGGUCUGGGAUAUCAAGCAAAGCAAAUACGGGUUAGACAGUAGUAACACCAUACCUGUCCUAACAAUACAUCAGGAGGGGUGAUAUCCGCCUUGAAUGUUCCAGAAGCCUAUUUCCAGAGAACACUUAAUUGAUAUAUUCACAGAAUUUAAAACAAGAGGUGUUUAAAACUGAAGCAUGCGCAAUUUUGGCACAUACUGAUACCUUGGCAACUAGCGUCGCUGACAACACCACCAAAUGGUUGAAAGCAAACAAGGCAUUCUUGUACCUUGUAUAAGUGGGUCACUUCCAACCCUUUCUCCAUGUACCAUUUCAGUAAGGAUGUGGCCAACAGGAUCUUUACAUGCAUCCAAUGAGUGAGUCUGGGUUUAGACACGAUGUUGUGCAUUCUGGCAUACGGUUUCAUAUAGCCUCCAAUAUCGGCGAUAGAGAUGUCGCAGUUCUUGAAGGUUGGAGACAUUUCAGCAAACAUUUCUUAUGGAUAGUAAAGAACGACAAUAUUAUGGUACCGUUGUUCGGUGGGUGUCUUGCACCUUAUGGUACCUGUGUAGGUGGGUGUCUUGCGCCAAGCCAAAACUUCAGACACUUGCUUUGUUUUUUGCAUGUUUUGCCAAUAGCACUCCCACAUUUCAACCACGUCAAACUCCUCGUGCCUUAGCUUGUUGUGUGCACCGUUUACAGAUACAAUUCAAUCAUGAGCUUGCCGUUGUUUUUAUUGUAGGUGGCACCUUGGUUUAGAGUGCAAUUUUGGCCGUGCCAAUAACAACCACGAAACUGAAAACUUUGCUUCGUCUCAGAGCAGAAACCGUCCAUGGGAAUUUGCUGAUGGCCAAUGCAUUUCUCCGUGUUAUAUUUUAUGUUGGAUUUGGAUCGCACGUUUUUGUGAUAAGUACACAACCACCAAGCACACAUUUGCCAUAUUGGUGUUUCGGAACACAUUUUCUUGAAAUCAUUAUUUUUCUCGCACUUUCUGUACUCCCAGUGGGCAUGUCCUGCAUCAAGGCCCACAGAUACCACGUAUUUGCGUAGUAUACAAUUAUGUUCUUACAGAGUUUGGGAAACCAUGGCCCUCAUGUCUUGUUCCCGAAUUUAUGUCACAUCUUUUUGAUGGUAUCUAUGG
This is a long non-coding RNA of Branchiostoma floridae (Florida lancelet), 1930 nucleotides long. RefSeq lists it as uncharacterized. The record is from RefSeq and is a predicted model, not a curated record. NCBI's taxonomy places the organism in Eukaryota, Metazoa, Chordata, Leptocardii, Amphioxiformes, Branchiostomatidae. The transcript is spliced from 2 exons.